RNAcentral lists this ribosomal RNA (417 nucleotides) under uncultured Glomeromycotina. RNAcentral's name for it is "SSU rRNA". It matches the Rfam family "Eukaryotic small subunit ribosomal RNA", at positions 569 to 990 of the family's 1831-position model. The record is from RNAcentral. Lineage: Eukaryota; Fungi; Glomeromycota.
AGCAGCCGCGGUAAUUCCAGCUCCAAUAGCGUAUAUUAAAGUUGUUGCAGUUAAAAAGCUCGUAGUUGAAUUUCGGGAUUAGUACGCUGGUCGUGCCUUUGGUAUGUACUGGUGUUACUGGUUCCUACCUUCUGACGAACCGUCAUGUCAUUAAUUUGGUGUGGCGGGGAAUCAGGACUGUUACUUUGAAAAAUUAGAGUGUUUAAAGCAGGCUCGCGCUUGAAUACAUUAGCAUGGAAUAAUGAAAUAGGACGUUCGAUCCUAUUUUGUUGGUUUCUAGGAUUGACGUAAUGAUUAAUAGGGAUAGUUGGGGGCAUUAGUAUUCAAUUGUCAGAGGUGAAAUUCUUGGAUUUAUUGAAGACUAACUACUGCGAAAGCAUUUUGCCAAGGAUGUUUUCAUUAAUCAAGAACGAAAGU